RNAcentral lists this long non-coding RNA (83 nucleotides) under Fukomys damarensis (Damara mole-rat). RNAcentral describes it as "lncRNA (ENSFDAG00000021908.1)". Lineage: Eukaryota; Metazoa; Chordata; Mammalia; Rodentia; Bathyergidae. The record is from RNAcentral.
CGAUGGCCGCCGACCCGCCGGGAGCUGCCGAGAAGGGAGAGAUGGCUCCCGGGACACGUGUGAGCCCUCGGCGUUGCUGACGC